CCUACUGCUAAUGUAGCCUCAAUUUGGUUUUAGUGUUGCAAAGAACGUCAAGUGCAGACAAUCUUGAGGAUCAAUGAUAUCUUUUGCUAUACUAGAUGAAUCACUAGUAUAUUCAAACAAUUGAUACCUUGGACAAAAGAAGAGGUCAGAACGUACUCUUAUCUUGGUGUGGAACUAAAUGGUGGAAUGUUGCAUAAAGAGUCUUUGGGAGAUCGAGCAUGGAGUACAAAGCAAUGCAGCAAGCUAUAUUUUCUUUCAUCAUGUAAAAAUGCUUUUUAGUCUAUGAG
Long non-coding RNA from Rosa chinensis, 287 nucleotides. RefSeq lists it as uncharacterized. The record is from RefSeq and is a predicted model, not a curated record. The transcript is spliced from 3 exons. NCBI's taxonomy places the organism in Eukaryota, Viridiplantae, Streptophyta, Magnoliopsida, Rosales, Rosaceae.